Molecule: non-coding RNA, 27 nt
Filed under: Bombyx mori (domestic silkworm)
Lineage: Eukaryota; Metazoa; Arthropoda; Insecta; Lepidoptera; Bombycidae
Source: RNAcentral
GCAGUGCCAGAUCUAUUGUGCUCGGAC